This 562-nucleotide ribosomal RNA is filed under the name Salmonella enterica subsp. enterica serovar Weltevreden. RNAcentral's name for it is "partial 23S ribosomal RNA". It matches the Rfam family "Bacterial large subunit ribosomal RNA", at positions 711 to 1269 of the family's 2925-position model. Lineage: Bacteria; Pseudomonadati; Pseudomonadota; Gammaproteobacteria; Enterobacterales; Enterobacteriaceae. The record is from RNAcentral. RNAcentral also lists the same sequence under 2 other names.
AGACCCGAAACCCGGUGAUCUAGCCAUGGGCAGGUUGAAGGUUGGGUAACACUAACUGGAGGACCGAACCGACUAAUGUUGAAAAAUUAGCGGAUGACCUGUGGCUGGGGGUGAAAGGCCAAUCAAACCGGGAGAUAGCUGGUUCUCCCCGAAAGCUAUUUAGGUAGCGCCUCGUGAAUUCAUCUCCGGGGGUAGAGCACUGUUUCGGCUAGGGGGCCAUCCCGGCUUACCAACCCGAUGCAAACUGCGAAUACCGGAGAAUGUUAUCACGGGAGACACACGGCGGGUGCUAACGUCCGUCGUGAAGAGGGAAACAACCCAGACCGCCAGCUAAGGUCCCAAAGUCAUGGUUAAGUGGGAAACGAUGUGGGAAGGCCCAGACAGCCAGGAUGUUGGCUUAGAAGCAGCCAUCAUUUAAAGAAAGCGUAAUAGCUCACUGGUCGAGUCGGCCUGCGCGGAAGAUGUAACGGGGCUAAACCAUGCACCGAAGCUGCGGCAGCGACGCUUAUGCGUUGUUGGGUAGGGGAGCGUUCUGUAAGCCUGUGAAGGUGGCCUGUGAGGG